This 300-nucleotide ribosomal RNA is filed under the name uncultured Desulfococcus sp. RNAcentral's name for it is "bacterial SSU rRNA". It matches the Rfam family "Bacterial small subunit ribosomal RNA", at positions 115 to 399 of the family's 1533-position model. The record is from RNAcentral. Lineage: Bacteria; Pseudomonadati; Thermodesulfobacteriota; Desulfobacteria; Desulfobacterales; Desulfococcaceae.
GCGUGGGUAAUCUACCUCCGAAUUGGGAAUAACAUUGCGAAAGCGAUGCUAAUACCGGAUAACAUCUCAAUAACUCCGGUCUUUGAGAUCAAAGGUGGCCUCUCCAUGGAAGCUAUUGUUUGGAGAUGAGCCCGCGUACCAUUAGCUUGUUGGUAGGGUAACGGCCUACCAAGGCUACGAUGGUUAGCUGGUCUGAGAGGAUGAUCAGCCACACUGGAACUGACACACGGUCCAGACUCCUACGGGAGGCAGCAGUGAGGAAUUUUGCGCAAUGGGGGAAACCCUGACGCAGCAACGCCG